This 466-nucleotide ribosomal RNA is filed under the name uncultured bacterium. RNAcentral's name for it is "partial 16S ribosomal RNA". It matches the Rfam family "Bacterial small subunit ribosomal RNA", at positions 28 to 507 of the family's 1533-position model. The record is from RNAcentral.
GACGAACGCUGGCGGCGCGCCUAACACAUGCGAGUCGAACGAGCGAGAGAGAGCUUGCUUUCUCAAGCGAGUGGCGAACGGGUGAGUAACGCGUGAGGAACCUGCCUCAAAGAGGGGGACAACAGUUGGAAACGACUGCUAAUACCGCAUAAGCCCACAGGUCGGCAUCGACCAGAGGGAAAAGGAGCAAUCCGCUUUGAGAUGGCCUCGCGUCCGAUUAGCUAGUUGGUGAGGUAACGGCCCACCAAGGCAACGAUCGGUAGCCGGACUGAGAGGUUGAACGGCCACAUUGGGACUGAGACACGGCCCAGACUCCUACGGGAGGCAGCAGUGGGGAAUAUUGCACAAUGGGGGAAACCCUGAUGCAGCGACGCCGCGUGGAGGAAGAAGGUCUUCGGAUUGUAAACUCCUGUUGUUGAGGAAGAUAAUGACGGUACUCAACAAGGAAGUGACGGCUAACUACGUG